CUACGGACCUCCUACGGGAGGCAGCAGUGGGGAAUAUUGCACAAUGGGCGCAAGCCUGAUGCAGCCAUGCCGCGUGUAUGAAGAAGGCCUUCGGGUUGUAAAGUACUUUCAGCAGUGAGGAAGGUGGAUAUGUUAAUAGCAUAUUCAUUUGACGUUAGCUGCAGAAGAAGCACCGGCUAACUCCGUGCCAGCAGCCGCGGUAAUACGGAGGGUGCGAGCGUUAAUCGGAAUUACUGGGCGUAAAGCGCAUGCAGGUGGUUUGUUAAGUCAGAUGUGAAAGCCCCGGGGCUCAACCUCGGAAUUGCAUUUGAAACUGGCAAACUAGAGUACUGUAGAGGGGGUAGAAUUUCAGGUGUAGCGGUGAAAUGCGUAGAGAUCUGAAGGAAUACCGGUGGCGAAGGCGGCCCCCUGGACAGAUACUGACACUCAGAUGCGAAAGCGUGGGGAGCAAACAGGAUUAGAUACCCUGGCAG
This 473-nucleotide ribosomal RNA is filed under the name uncultured bacterium. Its description in RNAcentral is "bacterial SSU rRNA". It matches the Rfam family "Bacterial small subunit ribosomal RNA", at positions 328 to 793 of the family's 1533-position model. The record is from RNAcentral.